GUCACAUUAGACCAAGGCCCUGAUACUCAUGUGAGAAAGGGCAGGGCCUUCUCCUUGCCUGCAUUCUCACUGUGGAAAUCUCUUUCUUCCUCUGCAGACUUGUUCACAAACACCAUGAGAGCAGUGAGGCUUGGAUCCUCAGAACUCCUAAGUCUCUCCUCAAGAAAUACUGUGGGAAAAUAUGAUGAGAAUUGUCUUUUUAAGUCAGGAGUUCUUCCCAAGCUCCCCUAUAUCGCACCAAUUGACACAUUUAGGGAGACAUUUACAGUUUUCACAGUACACCCUGGCAGUAUUACAGCAAUAAUUUUGAAUUACGGUGUUGGUAGAUUUUAGAAAGCAGGAAGAUAAUAAUACGUAGUCAUACAUUUACCUGAUUCCUGAGACUUUAGGUAAACUGUGAAAUCUAGCACUGGGGGCAAUGUAUCAUCCUAAUAGAAUGUUUAGGUAGGGAAGUGUGAAUUUCUCCCAUUUUGGUGCUAGAAAUGAGUUUCCUCGUCUUGCUGAACACUUUUUUUUAUUAUUUCACAACUGCUGUACUGAACUGCUUUGUGCCAAAUACAAAAGCUACCAGGAGAUCUUUUCUGGGAAAUUUUCAAAAGCAUUUUAGAAGAACGCAGCACUUCUUGUUUGUGUAAGGGAUAUAAAAAAAGAAUAGCAUCUGCAAAAUAAGGAUUUGGGAUAAAUGUGUACUCAUUAUGAAAGUUUAAUAGAACAAAGAGGGUUUUAUUUCCUAGAGAGAGUGGUCUUUUUAUUUUUUCUAGUUUUCUCAUGAUUUUUCCUUUGGGAAGUAAGAAAAUCAUGUUUUCACACACACAAAAAAAAAUCAUUUUUAUGCUAUAUAUUAAUACUGCAAUUUAGGAUAUCCUCUGUUUCAUUAAAGUAUUUUACUUUCAUCAGAAGCAGAUAUUUUUUAAUUAAAAAAAAAAAAUUCAGCAUUCAAAUUUGGAUCUGUCUGUUUCUGUUUCAAUUCAAUUCUGGAAUGCUAUUUGAAAAGUUUCCAUACUUCUACUUACAUAGAGGCACCAACAUUUCUAACAGAAGAAUUCAGUAAAAUUCAUUCUGCAGAUAGAAAACUUAUCAACAUUUAUAUUAAGGGAUUAUGGACCAACUUUACAAUUUUUUCAUAAGAUUCUUUUCUAGAGAAACUCUAAGCUAAAUAAUUUGUGGAUCAUAGAACUGAAGUCAUCUGGCUAGAGAGUGGAUCAUUGAUAACAGAUAAUUGAUAUGGUUAAACACUGCAUUAUAGAUAAUGUAAAUGGCCAUAUUCAAAAAUCUGCAACUAAAUAAAACAAUGACAUUUUAAUGAUGGGUACUUAGCACACCAAUCAAAGCUAAUCAAAUUAAUUUUCACAAAUUACUUAUCUGAAAAAUUUAACAGUAAAUUAUCUGUAGAUAUGCUGGGAUAUUUUUAUAUCGUUUAAUGAAUGUAUGACUACAUUUUAGCCUGAGGUUUAUUCACAAACUGGUAAAUGAGCCCUCAUUUUUUGACUUGCUGUGUAAAUCAUGUGGGAAAACUUCAGUUCCAAAACUGGGUGACCUGUACUUCACUAACAAGAAGAAUCCCUUUUUUCCUGCCCUAAAAUGAUUUGCAAAAAUUCAGCCCUUGUUCAGUGAAUAUUUUACCAACAAAACAGAAAAAUAUUUUAUCCUGAGAGAGCAUUUUUGUACAAACAUUUCCAUAACAAGUUACUUGAUUUUCCGGAUACCUCUGCUUUCAAAUACACUCACUCCCCAGAGUUGCACAUCAACAUGAUGCCAAAGGGUGGCAAGUCUUAUUGACAGGAAUAUUUACAAACAUUUGGCUACAGUUACCCCCAGCUGAGCCACACAUACCUUGCAGCUGCAGUGCACAUAAUAAAGUUCAUCAGAACCCUUUUAGUAGCAAAUACAGCAGAAAGGAGAAGAUAGGAGAAAGGUGCAUAUUACACUGCACAUACAGAUUUUUCUUUAAAACAAACAAACAAAAAAUUUUCAAGAUGACUUUCAUAUUCUCUAGGAAGAAACUGCUCUCUAUGGACUGCAAGUUCAGCAUUUUGACGUUCCAAGGCAGUGCAAAGCUAGGCCUGCAGGGAAAUUCCUGGCGUAUGUUUCCAGUGGAGAAUAGUUUUUCUGACAAGAAGCAAGAAGUGAUGAGGGAUGUUCUUAGGCCGGGAAUAAGUUUCAGUUUCUUCACUACUAUCAGUUGCUUACAUUAAAAUAAAGUACUCUCAAGCUUU
Long non-coding RNA from Gallus gallus (chicken), 2216 nucleotides. Lineage: Eukaryota; Metazoa; Chordata; Aves; Galliformes; Phasianidae. The record is from Ensembl.